Bos taurus (domestic cattle) is the source of this 73-nucleotide non-coding RNA. NCBI's taxonomy places the organism in Eukaryota, Metazoa, Chordata, Mammalia, Artiodactyla, Bovidae. The record is from Rfam.
UCCCCUGUGGUCCAGUGGUUAAGACUCUGUGCUUCCAAGGCAGGGGGCAAAAGUUUGAUUCCUGUUUGGGGAA